RNAcentral lists this ribosomal RNA (497 nucleotides) under uncultured bacterium. RNAcentral describes it as "partial 16S ribosomal RNA". It matches the Rfam family "Bacterial small subunit ribosomal RNA", at positions 28 to 507 of the family's 1533-position model. The record is from RNAcentral.
GAUGAACGCUGGCGGCGUGCCUAAUACAUGCAAGUCGAGCGAACAGACGAGGAGCUUGCUCCUCUGACGUUAGCGGCGGACGGGUGAGUAACACGUGGAUAACCUACCUAUAAGACUGGGAUAACUUCGGGAAACCGGAGCUAAUACCGGAUAAUAUAUUGAACCGCAUGGUUCAAUAGUGAAAGACGGUUUUGCUGUCACUUAUAGAUGGAUCCGCGCCGCAUUAGCUAGUUGGUAAGGUAACGGCUUACCAAGGCGACGAUGCGUAGCCGACCUGAGAGGGUGAUCGGCCACACUGGAACGGAGACACGGUCCAGACUCCUACGGGAGGCAGCAGUAGGGAAUCUUCCGCAAUGGGCGAAAGCCUGACGGAGCAACGCCGCGUGAGUGAUGAAGGUCUUCGGAUCGUAAAACUCUGUUAUUAGGGAAGAACAAAUGUGUAAGUAACUAUGCACGUCUUGACGGUACCUAAUCAGAAAGCAACGGCUAACUACGUG